RNAcentral lists this long non-coding RNA (1763 nucleotides) under Homo sapiens (human). Its description in RNAcentral is "HSALNT0224147". The record is from RNAcentral. Lineage: Eukaryota; Metazoa; Chordata; Mammalia; Primates; Hominidae.
UCCUUGUAUCACCUUCUGCCCUGUUCACUCCUGCUGCACCUGGUUUGUCUAGGAAUGGGACAGAGGAUGGGAGAGAAGGAAAAUAAGGGUCAAAGAAGUUAUCAGCCGGGCGCAGUGGCUCACGCCUGUAAUCCCAGCACUCUGGGAGGCCCAGGUGGGUGGAUCACACAGUCACGAGACCGACACCAUCCUGGUGAUGGUGAAACCCCUUCUCUACUGAAAAUACAAAAAUUACCCGGGCAUGGUGACACGUACCUGUAGUCCCAGCUACUCAGGAGGCUGAGGCAGGAGAAUCGCUUGAACACGGGAGGCGGAGGUUGCAGUGAGCCGAGAUCACACCACUACACUCCAGCCUGGGCAAUAGAGAAAGACUCCAUCUCAAAAAAAAAAAAAGUUAUCAUGAGUGGUAUGGUUGCAGUCUGCCACUGGUGCCCUCUGUAGGGGUUUUGGACGCCCUGCCCUCUGGCUUUGGGGACCUCUCCGCAUGAUGUCCUUGUGCAGGGAAGUACUUUCAGGCAACUGCCUCACCCCUCCUUCCAGAGCUCACAUCCAGUGGCACAAUGCAUGCAACUUCAUUUUGUUGGGGUCCUUCUUGCAUGGGCCCCUUUCCAAAUGGCUUCAAUCCCACCACCCUCUUAAGGCACGGAAAAAUUCAACUGGAAUCUGGAAGGUCCCCUCCCCCCGCCCUCCCUAUUCUUACCAGACAGGCAGCUCUAUUUACUUCCAGCCUUUAGAUGCUUUUAGGCAAGGGUCGGUCCCUGCCCCUAUGCCACGCAAAUUCUGGAGGACACAGUGAUCUCUCAGCACAGCUCUGUCACCUCAUUCUAUCCCGUGUCCUGGAGUCCACAGGUUCCUUUCCCUCAGCUGGAAGAGAGUGGUGAGCACCCCCUCCCCUCUCCUGAUUAACAUCCUGUUGCAUUACUAAUAGGCACAUUGUCUAAGAAGCCAUUUUAUUAGCCCAUCUUUCAACGGAGUCGGGCUGAGCUUACAGUCUCACGAACUCAGGAAGAACAUUAGGAAGCUGCAAGCCUCUCAGAAACGUGUCCUCAUAACUGCUCUGACACGUCCAGGAGCGUCUCUCCAGCCAGGAUCCGUGGAAUGAGUACAGCAGGCUGGGGGAGAUAGAUGAAGCUGGUCUCCUCCUCCUGACAGGUUGUGCUCCGUGUCUACAAGCAGAGACGGUCCUGGGCUCUGGCAUGUGAGGAUAGAGAGCCCAAUGUCAGCAGCAAGACAUGCUGGAAACUCUGUGAGGCUUCAUCUGCCACAGCACACCUGGUGGUCCUCACAGAGGGACGAGGCCUAUGCUUUCCUCCUUACAUCAGCAGGGGUUACGUGUACUGCCUUAUUUAAUCUUUGCAGCAACACCCUGAAGUGGUGUGGCAGACAGAAUAAUGGCCCCCAAAGAUGUUCACAUCCUAAUCUCCAGAACCUUGAAGAUGGAGGAGGCCAUAAGGCAGGACACAAGGAAAGAUGGAGAAGCCAAGGAAACGGCUUCUCUUCUGGAGUCUUCAUAAAGGAAAUCAGCCCUGCCAACACCUCGAUUUUAGCCUGGUGAGACCCGUUGAGGACUUCUGACCUCUAGAACUGUAAGAUAAUUUGUUUUGUUUUGUUAGCCACUACAUUUGUGAUAAUUUGUUGCAACAGCAAUAGGAAACUGAUACAAAUGGGCACUGUUUUAUCCAGUUUCAGAUGAGAAAGCUGAGGCUCAGAGAGAUUAAGUAACUUCCCUAAGGUCACACAGCUAGGAAGGGCAGUGCAAGAAU